Molecule: non-coding RNA, 72 nt
Organism: Dovyalis caffra
Lineage: Eukaryota; Viridiplantae; Streptophyta; Magnoliopsida; Malpighiales; Salicaceae
Source: the annotation of a GenBank genome assembly
GUGUUGGUAGUCCAACGGUUAGGGUAAUUGCCAUCCAAGCAAUGCGCCUGAGUUCGAUUCUUGGUAGACAUU